UAGGGAAUUUUGCGCAAUGGGGGAAACCCUGACGCAGCAACGCCGCGUGAACGAUUAAGCCCUUCGGGGUGUAAAGUUCUGUCAGUGGGGACGAAACUUGACGGUACCCACAGAGGAAGCACCGGCUAACUCCGUGCCAGCAGCCGCGGUAAUACGGAGGGUGCAAGCGUUGUCCGGAAUCAUUGGGCGUAAAGAGUUCGUAGGUGGCACGUUAAGUCUGGUGUUAAAUGCAGAAGCUCAACUUCUGUUCGGCACUGGAUACUGGCGAGCUUGAAUGCGGUAGAGGUAAAGGGAAUUCCUGGU
This 303-nucleotide ribosomal RNA is filed under the name uncultured bacterium. RNAcentral describes it as "bacterial SSU rRNA". It matches the Rfam family "Bacterial small subunit ribosomal RNA", at positions 355 to 674 of the family's 1533-position model. The record is from RNAcentral.